This 8705-nucleotide long non-coding RNA is filed under the name Musa acuminata (dwarf banana). RNAcentral's name for it is "long non-coding RNA (MACU_LNC000921)". Lineage: Eukaryota; Viridiplantae; Streptophyta; Magnoliopsida; Zingiberales; Musaceae. The record is from RNAcentral.
AAUGCCUGUAGAGAACCAUGAACAUUGUAGUGGUGGGAGUGCUUUACGAAUUGAUGUUCAAGCAACAUGUUGGCUGUUGGCCUGUCUGCAGGAUUCCUCCGAAAGCAACACCGCAGAAAGUCCUUGCCCUCAUUGGACAAUGAAUCAGGUAUUGGUGGGUCUCUAUGCAAGACUUUGAACAUAGCUGCAGCCUGUGAUCAACAUAAACAGAUAGCAAUAAAAUGCAGACCCCGAUGAAGUGAAGAAAAAGAAAAAGUGCAUCAUAAAUCAGUCAUCUAAAAUUGCAUGGUUUAAUAUGUAUUAUUAUAUUAAAAACCCUUUAUAACAAGAAAUUAGGCUUCUUUAUAGUUAAUAAUAUAUGCAAAAUUAUUCUAGUCCACUUAAAAACAAUCAAUGCUUCUUGUUGAUGUCGACGGCAGAAAUAAGGUUUUUUUGGCUACCUGAGUUUACCUGGUCCGCUUAAACCAGUCUUGAAUCUCGAAUACCCAUGAAUCACAUAUGGGAGUAGGCAUUUGAGUCAGGUUCAAGUCCUGAUACCUAGAUGGUAGGGUUCGGGAUAUGGUAAGAUGAGAUUCUCAAAUAUCCUAUCCACUGUCAUUCCUGAUAUUAACUAGAGAAGGAAGGAUACCCAGAUCUACCAACUCACUUCAACUGAUUUGGGUAAUAAGCAGGACCCUAGAUACAUUUUAAAUUCAAGUACCUUUUUAGUUGGUCGGAUUUUAUACCUGAUGCACUGUACUCAUUUUUUGUUAGCACCACUUCAACCAAGAGACAAAUGAUUGUUUGAAGGUGGAAUUUCUAGGCAAUUAAUUGAAUAGACAGGUGUCCCUUAUAACAUUUUCUAUUCAUCCUGCCAUAUUUUAUCAUCAAAUGCCAAUGACUGCAACCCAAAUUGACUCAUCGCUAUCCAUAGCAACCAUAAAGAAACUCAAAAUAUCUAUGAUUUCAAUUGCUGAACAACACGAUCUCAAGAAAUUUGUUUGUGGCAGUUAUUUGCAAUCUGAUAUCAACUUGCAAGACAGUCUCAAAAGACUACAGCAAAUAACAGUCUGUGUAAAAUAAUCCUGGGUCAUUGCUAUAAUAAUACAUACUAAAUCAAAAGUAUGAGGGUCUUGCCAAGGCUCUUGCCAGUGAGAGUCUAGGGAGAAUCAAUCUAUAGAGCUUUACCCUGCACACACACAGACUGUUUCCAUGACUCAAAUCCUAGCUGCCCAAGUUGUAAACAAACAACAGUUACCAUAACACCAAGGCCCUCUAUAAAAUAAUAAUUUGAAAAGAAUUUCAGAGCACCUAUGUUGGAAGCAAACUGAGUCUAAAAAUUUCAUUGUGCAAUCAUAUGACCAGGUGAUAAUAUCUUAUUUUGAGUGCUGGAGGAACAUCAAUGCAUUUUUCAUGUAAUACUAUAGAGUAAAAUUUAUGGAUGGAAGGCUUAGGGACACUAAAUUCAUGGUCAGAAACAGAAAAAAAGUGUGAGUUCUGAUUUCCAAGUCUAGUGAGAUAAGCCCUACCAUAUGAGAAGUUAUUUACAGAACAUCAGAUAGGGGCAUCAGGGAUAUUGUCAUUUAGCAAAACUCCAUGAGCAUCUAAAACGUCGCUUUAAUUUUGGAGAAGCUUGAUAUUAAUAAGUCAACAGGCUUAGCUCAAGUAUUUUGGACCGCUUGACAAACAUCCCCAUCAGGAAUUACUAAUUUAGCAGACAACCUAAAAUUGAAUAUUGACCUCAUUUUUGAAUAAAAGUGUGCACAUCUUAUGUCAGGGAUCUCUAAAAAAGGAUACAACAACUUUCUUUUGUCAAGUAACCUGGAUAUUUUUCCCAUUAACUGUUUAUCUAAUUGUACUGAUUAAAAUAUUUGGCAAAAUAUUAUGAUACUUAUGAUUUCUUAUUUUCUAUCUUUAUAUAUGAUAAUUACUAAUCUCUGUGCACCAAAGAAAGUCUGGAAUAAGACACGCUCAAGCCAGCAAUAAUCCAUUUGCAAACACAAAUAACACUCAAAGCCCAGAUUUGCUAAAAGCCAAUCAACCCCAGUUAAGAAAACAAGUCAGCAUCACCAAUAUGAUUUCCUAUGGUAAGAUUAAACUGUUGUAUACAUUGGCCCUCUUAGACCCCACGUUGACUAUCCUUUUUUUGUGUUUUAAUGUAUGAUCAGUAAAACUUCAUGGGUCUUUUUAUACAGUAGGUUUCUACUCAUCCAUCGUCCGAACUUAGCUAAACAAGAAAAUGACAGCAAUUCAUUCUUUAACCAGUAUUAUCUGUUGUAAACCAUUAAAAAACAUGUUUCUGUACAUAUAGGCUGUAUAUUCUAAUUAGUCUGAAUAAGUUAGUGAAGCUAUUAAAUCUAUAGAAAUAAGUCAAUAACAAGCUUAAAUUGGAGCAUCUGUUACUUGCAAAUGACAGCACAAGACAUCCUAACUACAUAUAGCAAUUCAUAAACAACUUCACUAAAAAAAACACUAACGCCUUCUAAACCACUCCAAGGAUGUUUUCCUGUGAGCAUCUCAAUGAUGGUACAACCCAAGCUCCAAAUGUCAACAGCAAAAUCAUAACCAAUAUCCUUGUUCAUUGUAGCCUGCACUACCUGUAAGAGGAUGUUCAAAAAUUGCAAAGUUAAAAUUGAUUAAGCAUAACACAGUAGGGUCAGAACUCCAAAAUUAAAUGCAUCGAUUAUGCUCCAGUUGAAAGAUGUGUCUAAAGACUUGAUUUUGUCUCUAAUGAAGCUUUAUGCAUAAUGCAUGCAUCAAUUUUUUUGAAGAAGAGAUUCAUGAUGCUUCUGAACUACACUCUUUGGAAGAAAGAGUUAGUAUAUCCUCUUGAUUAAAUACUUUUACCUACUCAGAAGAGGAAGAAGUAUUUAUAAAAAAAGAUGUUUCAAGUACAAGAGACUGCAAUCUCACAUGCCAAUGCAACAUGGUAAAGCAGGUUCCUGAAAUGGGACUAGAAGGAAAUAGAAAAGGGAAUUGGUGCACUUUCUUGCGGGAGGUGGUCUCAUGGGAAAAUAAGGCAUUGGAGAAAACAACAAACGGCUGCAAUAAUUAGCACACAUGCGAGUACAUCAGGAAACCAUUCUUCCAGGAAAAUUUCAUGAACUAUUAAGAAAUUGAGAGAAUAUUGUGAAUACCAGUCAAAAAUACAUAUAAAUGGUCACUUCCACCAGGAUUUCUUCACUGAUGGAAUACUAAGUAACUAUAAAAACACAUGACAACAUAGGCACUACAGACAUCAAGCCAUGUAAUUAGUUACAAAAGGGUGCAUAAGAAAAACAGGGCAACCACUAACCAGAAACCUAUGAAGUGGUAAGCUUGACCAUAGAAGAAAUAUCAAGGUCACAUAAAACUGCAAGUGAAAGGUGAUAACCAUGGUUAACUUAAUCAAAUAAUAUACUCUUUAAAACCAGUAAACCCAUAAUAUGGCCGUAUCCAUAUAGUAAACAUAGGCAAGGCAAGGCUUUGCAGGCUUUCAUGUUAGUUCUGUAUUGCAUGUUUCCAUAGAAAACCUUCUCAUCUAACAUAUAGUUUCUUUAAAAACUCAAUUUCAUAGAAACAUUCCAACUAGAAGAUAAUCAGAUGAGAUCCCAUAUACAUAGUCACAGAAAUUUCUUCAUGGGCUUGACUUCCUAUAUCCUCUACAGGAAGUGCAAACAUGAACUCAACCAUCCAUAUUUCCAACUGAAUUUUCUUAGACACAUCAAUACUCCUCAUUGAUCCACAUAUCUAAUGCCAAUACAACAUAAAUACUCCCACUUGUUUUAUUCAUAGCUAUAACUGUCAUCAGUUUAAUUCAGAAAAGGAUUUAACCAUAAGAACCCAACCAUACUCAUAUUUCCUCCUGAUUUUUUUUAUACACAUCUAUAUUCUUCAUUGAUCCACAUUUUACAUACCAGCAUCACAUAUAUACUCAUAUUUGUUUAGUUCAUGAUUAUAACUAUUAUCAUCCAAUUUUCCUCCUUUUGUUUCUUUCUGAACAUAUUUGAUCUCUGCAUUGGAACAUCCAGUAGGGGAGUGUGAUUCAGAUCUCUGAGGAUUGUGAUCAAGACUGGUGCUUGAUGGAGACUUCAUGACCAAUAUACCCACAUUUGUUUAAUUCAUGAUUAUAACUAUUAUCAUCCAAUUUUCCUCUUUUUGUUCUUUCUAAAUAUAUCUGAUCUCUGCAUUGGGACAUCACCAACAGUUCAAUUAAAAUUCUUGACAUUUUAGCUACAAACUUUUCAAUUGGAAGUAGCCGCAAACUUAUGCUAGAAGAAAACAAAGUAGGAAAUUUUUAAUCAAAUUGGCUGUAACAAGCCAAUAGUUAUAUGUCUUGGUUAACUCCAUGAAAAGAAAGCUUGAUGUGAAUAAAAGGUACUGAGGCUAUAGCAACAGCAAACCUCUAGAAAGAUUUUUUUUUAUAACUUCAUAAUUUUCUAUUGGACCCCAUUGUGAUUAGACAUAACAAAUGGAACUAUGAUCCCAGAGCAUUAUUCACUAUAGUAAUUCAAGACAAACCUAGCAAAAAUUAAAUUUGGCUAAUUUCAAGUGAAAUGGACUUGUACAUCACUUAUUUUUAUUAGUCAGCACAUAGGCUUUCUAACAAAAUUCCAUGUCUUCCUUUGUCUUGACUAUGAAAACUGCACUACAAUGGUUAGAGUUAAGACCACUAGAUUACUAUAGGAUGUGCUUCCUUGAAGUAUCCCAGAUGGUAAUUGUGCAAAAUCCCUUCUCCCUUUAUUUUGCCUGGCUUUGGUCAAGUCACAUAACUCACAAACUCAAAUGUCCAGCUCAGCUAAAUCAUGAUUACUAUUACUACAUGUUUGCAUCGAUUUAACAAAAAAAAAACAUUGCAUAGUGAGGCAAAGUACCUGUGUUGCAUAGCUAAAGCAAAUUUGUGAAAUUCAAGGAUCUUUUAUAAACCAUUGUUUAGAACUUUAGAUAAUGGUGAAACCGAACUCAUAUAAACUGCACUUCCAUAUCAGUGUGUUCUUAUCAGAAAAGAUAAAAGACAAGAAACAAGAUAUUUAACCAAAUACAAUAAUCACUACAGCAAGAAAUAAGCAAUGCAUAAACGAAUUACCUCUGGAGCCAUCCAAAAUGGUGAUCCCUUUAAUGAAAGAGCCCCAGCUGCCCCAUUUAACUGAUCCAUUUUUUAAAAAGUGAAAUAAGCUAAUAGUCACAUUUAUAGAGAAGGUUCAAAAUACUUGCAGAUACAGAUAUAUUUGUGAACUCAGGGAUGGCAUAUAUGAAUCUCUGCAUGAAUUUAUAUACAAAUAACAUGUAUGUAUGUACAUGUGCAUCCAUGCUAAAAUAUCAGCAAAUGAUCAAAGUACAAAUGUAGCAUCAAGGGAUUUGUUCAAAACAAGGCUUACAGCCCAAUAAGCCCUACAAACCAAGCUUACCACCCAGUAAGUUCAGUUUAAGAUUUGUAUUAGCAUUUUCUUCUACCCCUAACCAUCUCCCACCGCACUACACCCUUCUCUUUCCCCAUGUCACACUGGCCUCCCUACUCCUCACACUGGCCUCCCUAAUCCUCCUCUCUUCUGGUACCAUGGUGCAUACCAUGCCAGUGUGUGCCGAACCCAUACCAGUCCAGUCAGCAAUCAGUGACUAGCACGGAUCCAAUUUCCAAAAUUGCAAUCUUUGCAAUCAUGCAUCAUCAAGAAUUAUGAGAACAGCCACCUGUUCUAUCAUCGCAAUUGUGAUAAACAACUCAAUGACAAACCAUAGUUAAAUAGUAUAUAGUAAACCAUAGUUAAAUAGUAUACAAUGAAAAAUCAAGAAUAUGAUCAGUAAUUGGAUUUUAAUUCAUAAUCUAUGGAGCAAGACACAUCCAAGAAGAUGGCCACAGUAGAGAAGCAACAAAGAUAAGGAAAAUAUUAUAUCAUGACAUGUAGGUAAAUUUGGAGCUAGUUUCAAUCAAAAGGCCACACUUACAUGUUUUGCCAUACCAAAGUCAGCAAGCUUGACAACGCCAUGCACGUCAACAAGCAAAUUUGCUCCCUUUAUAUCCCUGGAUGAACCAUUAUUUAAGAUGCCAACAUAAAUUCUUAUAUUAAAUUAUGAGUCAUCACUUGCUGGAAAACACCAAUGUAUGCUAAGAAAGGUAACUACAGCUUGAGUUUAUAGCAGUUAUAGGACUAUACAGACACAAGAUGAUAACCAAUAAAUAUAGACAUUAAAUAUUUAAUAAUUCAUUUAUAAAUAAUUAAGGAAAAAAUCAACAAUAAUUAUUUCAAUAAGAUUAAUUCGUCAAUUUUGAAUUCCUACUGAUACCAGGAUAUUAUAAAUGGAAAGUAGAACCUCCAAGAAUAAACUUGCAAAUCUAGGACUCAGCAUCCAAACAAAAAACCCAGGCAGGGGCAUGCUUAAGCAUCCCAGUUGUCACAAUGAAACAUGGCACUACUUGGUGUCACAUGCAUUAGUGCAUUUGUAUGUCAUGAGAACAUAAAAAUUUCAGCAUUUGCAUUAAGAAUAAAAUGCAAUCACCAAGGAGAAGUCAAACUAAGAAUAAAGAAUCUUAACAGUUUGUAUGACCUUAAAAUUCAGUCAAAACCCAAAAGUUUCUAACUACCAUCACACUUGAAAGGUACAUGUACUGAUUUACAAAUCAUGCAGCUGCAAGUUCUAUCUAGUUCUAGUAUGCUGUACUACUCAAAGUUUCUAGACCAAUUUAAAACCAAAUCCUGUACUACUUUAGGCAUCUUGAAGGCAAUGCCAUUCAUAAAUAAGCUUCUCCAAUCUUGCAUCCAUGUAUUCACCAACUAGAUAUAAAAUCUUACAAUUAAAAGAAGAGGAAUAUACAAAUCAAAAAAAUCAUUCUAAGCAAGAAAAGCAACCUUAUUGAGGCACUUCAACAGAAAGUACAACUAAGGCCACACAAUAACAAUAACUAAAUCUAAAAAGUGCCUAAGUUUCAAAUGUUCAUUUAAACAUAACAAGACUCACCAAAAUGAGGGAGAAAAUUCUUCAAAAAACACAUUAAAAAACACAUAAAAAAUAGGUACCUAAAUACUGCAAAAGGAUGCACAACAUCUAAUACAAAUUUAUAAGUUGAACAAAGAAUAAUCAACUCCAACUAGUUUCUAUGAACAAAUUAACAAGAAACUAGUUAGAAUUUUAGCUGAAUCAAAAAGGAGAAAAGGAGGGAAAAAAAAAGUAAUCACUUGUAUCUGAGGCUUAAUUCACAAGCAACAACUUCAUCAAACAAGACCCGCCUUUGUUCAGCUGAAAUAUUUUACCAAUUCAGAUCUAAGUGAUAAUUAUCACAAAAAUAGUUCACCAUUAUCCUAGUAACACUUGUCUUUUGGAUGUAGCAACAGAACACAUUCUUGAACAAAAAAAGUUCAAGUCAUCUUACACAGUAACCUUGUAGUCUGAGAAAGAAAAAAAAUGAAACUUUUAGGAGUAAAGGGAUAAGUAGAGAUCUAAUUACAUGCAAACCCACAGAAGUUCAACAAUUUGACUACAUAUUUGCAGCAAAAGAAACACAAACCUGUGCAUUAUUUUUUUUCCAUGCAAGUAGGCCAGCCCUUUAAGAAUAUGACGAGUGAAAUUGCGGACAACUGAUUCUGUCAUAGCUCCACAAUGCUGGCGUACAUAUUUAUUAAUUGAACCAGGAUGAACAUAUUCGAGAUAUAUGUAGAGCCGAUCAUCAAUCUGCAUGUUAAAAUAAUAAAUAAGAAAAAAUCCAGAAAGUUGUAAAAAAAUGUGACACAAAAAUUCCCAGUAUAGACAUAAGAAAAGCUCACUGUUUCACUCCCAUAAUAUUGCACGAUAUUUGGAUGCUUAAAUUGGCUAAGAAACUUUAUUUCCUGCAAAAUUAGGGGACAAUGGAUAAUAAUUCGGCAUAUAACCAACUUUGGACAUAUGAAAUUACUUAAACAAAAAAAAAAUCCACAGAUGAUAGCAGCAAUACUCUAUAAGCAUCACAAAAUAGCACCAUGUCACUUAGAAUCUGCUCAAUAGUUUAGUAGUAAAAGUUUUGUGCGUUAGUCAUAUCAGAUAUAUCUGACAAAGUAAUCAAUUCUAGAUCAGCAAGGAAAGGCUUAUGCAUGCUUAUAUUAAUUGAUAAGAAUGAUAUAUGUUGAAAUGAACAAUUAACCUGUUCCAACUGCUUUAUGCAUUCAGCUGACUUGGCAUCAUCAGGAAUAAUAUUAACUUCUUUCAUUGCACAUAAAGCUCCAGUUUGUCUAUAAAAAAUUAAACCAUAUUAGAGCAAUAGAAAGAAGCUUAACACCCAUCGACAAAACAGGAUAACAUAUUGACCUAUUGGUGGCUUCAUAAACAUUCCCAAAUGUGCCACUUCCAAUAAGCUUUCCCUUCUGCCACUGAUUUGUCAUUGGCAUUGCAUCAGCUUUUGCUGCAUUCUGAUGAGAAAAACCUGAUUGCGAAGGAGAUGAAGCUCCUGGAGGCAAAGGAAGUGGAUGAACACUAAUGUUUCCACUGUUCUCAUGCCAUGUACCAGAGUUCUCUGGAAACAGCUUUGUGUGCAAUGGGGACGAUGGUCCACUUGGAUUUCUGGAUCUUAAGACAGGACUUUUAGUAUUUGGACUGUAGAGUGGUGAUAGAUCAGGACUGCCAACCAUUUUUUCAGGUGAGGUCUGUGGAGAAAAAACUGACACCAUUUCUGUGGAUGGGAUCUCUGGAGCUGACCAGACUUGAAGCCCUGGAGUUGCAAUAGUAAAAGUGGAAAAGUCUACAUUACUCAAUCUCCGAGGGCUACAUAAAGGACUACGUAC